GCCAACAGCUAUAUCAGCCUGCAGUUCACCACUGGCAGCCCACUGAAGGUCAGCACGUAUGACCCUGGCCAGUACCUGGAUGGGAGACCUCCUGGGAAAACUAAGGCUGCAGCUGGAA
Molecule: ribosomal RNA, 118 nt
Organism: Lepisosteus oculatus (spotted gar)
Lineage: Eukaryota; Metazoa; Chordata; Actinopteri; Semionotiformes; Lepisosteidae
Source: Ensembl